RNAcentral lists this ribosomal RNA (253 nucleotides) under uncultured bacterium. RNAcentral describes it as "partial 16S ribosomal RNA". It matches the Rfam family "Bacterial small subunit ribosomal RNA", at positions 524 to 776 of the family's 1533-position model. The record is from RNAcentral.
GACGUAGGGCGCGAGCGUUGUCCGGAUUUAUUGGGCGUAAAGAGCUCGUAGGCGGCUCAUUGCGUCAACCGUGAAAACCUGCAGCUUAACUGUGGGCUUGCGGUUGAUACGGGUGGGCUGGAGUUCGGUAGGGGAGACUGGAAUUCCCGGUGUAGUGGUGGAAUGCGUAGAUAUCGGGGGGAAUACCAGUGGCGAAGGCGGGACUCUGGGCCGAUACUGACGCUGAGGAGCGAAAGCGUGGGGAGCGAACAGG